GGAUUAUGGCUCAGUGGUACAGUGCUUGCCUAGCAUGUGUGAGGCACUGGGUUCAAUCCUCAGCACCA
This 68-nucleotide transfer RNA is filed under the name Marmota monax (woodchuck). RNAcentral describes it as "tRNA.Ala". Lineage: Eukaryota; Metazoa; Chordata; Mammalia; Rodentia; Sciuridae. The record is from RNAcentral.